RNAcentral lists this ribosomal RNA (372 nucleotides) under uncultured Glomeromycotina. RNAcentral's name for it is "eukaryotic LSU rRNA". The record is from RNAcentral. Lineage: Eukaryota; Fungi; Glomeromycota.
UUGAAAGGGAAACGAUUGAAGUCAGUCGUACCUGCGGGUAAUCAGCCUUUUGGGCAUGAUUCUGUGGAGCGUGAGGAGUUAAACGCCUUCAUGCCUGCAUAUUCGUGUACUUUGGGUGUACUUGCCUGUGUGGUCAGUUAACAUCAAUUUUGGUUAUCAUAAAAUGGUUGGAGGAAUGUAGCUUCGAUUUCGAUUGAAGUGUUAUAGCCUUCGGCAGAUGUGAUGAUCGGGAUUGAGGAUUGCAACGGAUACCCUUCGGGGCUACCUGUCUGGUCUCUGAUCGUUGCUUUGGUGCCGAAAGCGUGCUUACGGUUAUCAAAGUCGAUGGUCAAUAGGUUAGAACGGGUUAAAUUCGUUAAGGAUGUUGACGUA